Molecule: long non-coding RNA, 460 nt
Filed under: Androctonus crassicauda
Lineage: Eukaryota; Metazoa; Arthropoda; Arachnida; Scorpiones; Buthidae
Source: RNAcentral
AGAACUGCAUGCAGUGCAUGACAUUUUCCAUGCCAAUAUGCUGCAGCAUGCAACAUAUUGGUAUGGAAAAUGUCAUGGAAGAUGAUGGGCACUGCAUGCAAUUCUUGGAAUAUCUGAAUGGGGGCCAUAUUGAACUUUGUGUAAUUAACGGUAAAUGUUGGCACGUAUUGUUUAGAGGCUUGGUGUGUCUUGUCUCAUUUGGUGAUUAUACGUUCCUUAAUCGCACAUUCUGUACUUUUGCAGCAUCACAAUCCCCCUGCUGGUGAUUUUUGGUACUAAAUUUUUUUCGGAAUCGAAACCGCAUGUUCCACUGUGUACGUCCACCAAAUUUUGUUCCAUUUCGUCCAAUACAUGAUGCGCUGGAGCUCUGAACACUUCAUGUUAUUUUAUGGCCACCCAGUACAAUACCUCUAAUGGUAUUUGAUUAUGUGGAUUCAGUCUAAUCACUAAGAUCGGAAGA